RNAcentral lists this ribosomal RNA (500 nucleotides) under uncultured Actinomycetes bacterium. RNAcentral's name for it is "bacterial SSU rRNA". It matches the Rfam family "Bacterial small subunit ribosomal RNA", at positions 538 to 1037 of the family's 1533-position model. The record is from RNAcentral. Lineage: Bacteria; Bacillati; Actinomycetota; Actinomycetes.
GCGUUGUCCGGAAUUAUUGGGCGUAAAGAGCUCGUAGGCGGCUGGUCGCGUCUGCCGUGAAAGGCCUGGGCUUAACUUGGGUUUUGCGGUGGAUACGGGCCGGCUAGAGGUAGGUAGGGGAGAACGGAAUUCCUGGUGUAGCGGUGAAAUGCGCAGAUAUCAGGAGGAACACCGGUGGCGAAGGCGGUUCUCUGGGCCUAUCCUGACGCUGAGGAGCGAAAGCGUGGGGAGCGAACAGGAUUAGAUACCCUGGUAGUCCACGCUGUAAACGUUGGGCGCUAGGUGUGGGGUUCUUCCACGGGUCCCGUGCCGUAGCUAACGCAUUAAGCGCCCCGCCUGGGGAGUACGGCCGCAAGGCUAAAACUCAAAGGAAUUGACGGGGGCCCGCACAAGCGGCGGAGCAUGCGGAUUAAUUCGAUGCAACGCGAAGAACCUUACCUGGGCUUGACAUCGCCGGUAAUCCUCCAGAGAUGGGGGGUCCCUUCGGGGGCCGGUGACAG